CGGUGGCUAGUUUAACUAAAAUCCCUAAUUUCGACUUAGCCGAUCCCUUUGGAGGGGCCACCAA
This is a non-coding RNA of Gekko japonicus, 64 nucleotides long. NCBI's taxonomy places the organism in Eukaryota, Metazoa, Chordata, Lepidosauria, Squamata, Gekkonidae. The record is from the annotation of a RefSeq genome assembly.